RNAcentral lists this ribosomal RNA (1686 nucleotides) under uncultured bacterium. RNAcentral describes it as "small subunit ribosomal RNA". The record is from RNAcentral.
AUAACAAUUUCACACAGGAAACAGCUAUGACCAUGAUUACGCCAAGCUAUUUAGGUGAGACUAUAGAAUACUCAAGCUUGCAUGCCUGCAGGUCGACUCUAGAGGAUCCCACCAGGAAACAGCCUAGGAACACAGUGAAAGAGGCCCUGGCUGAUGCCCGACCUACCGUUCCUCAUCAACAGGUAAUGGAUGAGGCACAAGCGUUGAUCGACAGAAAGCGUCGCCGUGCCUGAACUGGAAUGGCUGGAACUGGCUCGUACCGAUCUGCUAGGGAUUGUCGAUUACAUCUCUGAUGACAAUCCCGAUGCAGCACAGCGCGUAAAAGAUGAUAUCGAGAUGAAAGCUGAAAAGCUGCCGGAGUUCCCCAAAUAAGCCGCCAACCGAGUUAACACCUGAAUCAAGUUCUUCGCCGGCUAGGCCGAGGAGAAAGCCCUUGAAACCGAGGCCGCCACGGGGGUUAGAAUGGCGUCAUGCCCGGCGCAAAUCGCUGUCUGAUAAGCGUGCCCCGGCAGAGGAACAUCUUUGGCCAAGCGGUCAUUGUACGCGACACACAAAGGAAAAGGAGACACAGAUGCAGACGCGCAAGCUCGGUUCGCAGGGGCUCGAGGUUUCUGCCCUCGGCCUAGGCUGCAUGGGAAUGUCGGAAUUCUAUAGUGGUCGCGACGAGGCCGAGGCGGUCGCGACCAUCCACCGCGCGCUUGAUCUUGGCGUCACAUUCCUCGAUACCGCCGACAUGUAUGGCCCAUUCACCAACGAAGUUCUGAUCGGCAAGGCAAUCGCCGACCGCCGCGACAAGGUCGUGCUGGCGACCAAGUUCGGGAACGUCCGCGGCAAGAACGGCGAAUUUCUCGGCAUUCGCGGCGACGCGGAAUAUGUGCGCCAGGCUUGCGAUGCAUCGCUGAAGCGGCUCGGGGUGGACCAUAUCGACCUCUAUUACCAGCACCGGGUGGACCCGAACACGCCGAUCGAGGAAACGGUGGGCGCCAUGGCCGAGCUCGUCAAGGCCGGCAAGGUCCGCUACCUCGGCCUGUCGGAGGCCGCGCCGGAAACCAUCCGGCGCGCGCACGCCGUCCACCCGAUCACCGCGCUCCAGACCGAAUAUUCGCUCUGGAGCCGCGAGCCGGAGAACGAGAUCCUGCCGACAGUACGCGAGCUGGGCAUCGGCUAUGUCCCCUACAGCCCGCUCGGACGCGGCUUCCUCACCGGGCAGAUCCGCCGCAUUGAGGAUCUCGCCGAGGACGACUACCGCCGCAGCUCGCCGCGCUUCCAGGGCGAGAACUUCCAGAAGAACCUCGAUCUGGUGCAGGAGAUCGAGACGAUGGCGCAGGAGAAGGGCUGCAGGCCGUCCCAGCUCGCGCUGGCUUGGCUGCUAGCGCAGGGCGAGGACAUCGUGCCCAUCCCCGGCACCAAGAAGCGCAGCCGACUGGAGGAGAAUGUGGGGGCGCUCGACGUGCGGAUCACGGCCGAGGAUCUUGCCCGGAUCGACAGCAUUCUGCCGUCCGGCGCGGCCGCCAGGCGCGCGCUAUGCCGCACCCCAGAUGCAGGCGCUGAACCGAUGAGCGGCGAGCGACUCGAGGGCCAGGUCGCGAUCGUCACCGGCGGUGCCCGCGGGUUGGGCCGCGCGAUGGUGCUGGGCCUUGCGGCGGCGGGGGCGCCGGGUCAUCACGACCGCAUCGCGCGAGGCGA